RNAcentral lists this ribosomal RNA (251 nucleotides) under uncultured bacterium. RNAcentral describes it as "partial 16S ribosomal RNA". It matches the Rfam family "Bacterial small subunit ribosomal RNA", at positions 524 to 776 of the family's 1533-position model. The record is from RNAcentral.
UACGUAGGGUGCAAGCGUUAAUCGGAAUUACUGGCGUAAAGCGUGCGCAGGCGUGAUGUAAGACAGAUGUGAAAUCCCCGGGCUCAACCUGGGAACUGCAUCUGUGACUGCAUAGCUAGAGUACGGUAGAGGGGGAUGGAAUUCCGCGUGUAGCAGUGAAAUGCGUAGAUAUGCGGAGGAACACCGAUGGCGAAGGCAAUCCCCUGGACCUGUACUGACGCUCAUGCACGAAAGCGUGGGGAGCAAACAGG